This is a long non-coding RNA of Musa acuminata AAA Group (dessert banana), 706 nucleotides long. RefSeq lists it as uncharacterized. The transcript has 2 exons. NCBI's taxonomy places the organism in Eukaryota, Viridiplantae, Streptophyta, Magnoliopsida, Zingiberales, Musaceae. The record is from RefSeq and is a predicted model, not a curated record.
CUGUGUCAUCAGCUGGACGGGUUUGGUAUAAUUCCAUUAGCAGCCGUGAUUUUUGCGUUAGGCAGACGAGUGCCAAUGGACUUGGAAACCGGCGAACCUCACUUUGUCCACACUAUAUCUAUCCCGCACCAGUCUCCGGAGUCUUCGUCACAGAGUGGCUCUUUGGGACGGUUGCCUUUCCAAUGUUACAGAAGCAAAUUAAGUAGGAGUACUUGGGCAAGCAGCGGAAACCCGGCGCUGGAUUGAGGAACAUGACGUACGCUGAUACUAGAAGAAGAGGAGGUCUCGUCACUCUCGUUUGCUUUUCCGCCAUGUUCUGGUUGCUGGUAUCGCAGUCCAUCUGCUCCGGGCGACUCCAGGGCACCUUCAAUGGGGCGUCCGGUUGUGUUAUUACUUCGUCUACUGGUUCAAAGAAUUGUCUUGGGAACUCGUCGCCGACCACGAACGCCAAUCCUCCUCCCACAAGCACUGACCCGUACAAGAAGAGAGUAAAUCCACCCGCACACUGACCUUCUACAAGUAUGGCGUGAUGGCGCGGCUUUGAUGCCCUUUCACCACUAUGUUUCCCUGUAGUAUUUGUCAUCGAGUGUGAGAAAGAGUGAUGUUACGGUGGGCAACUCAAGUCGGUUGACCGUUGAAUCUAUGUUUUAUUUCUCUGUUAGCUUUUCUCGUUAAACGUCAACAAUAAAAAAAAUACCGCUUUUGA